AGUGAACGCUGGCGGUAGGCCUAACACAUGCAAGUCGAACGGCAGCACAGUAAGAGCUUGCUCUUACGGGUGGCGAGUGGCGGACGGGUGAGGAAUACAUCGGAAUCUACUUUUUCGUGGGGGAUAACGUAGGGAAACUUACGCUAAUACCGCAUACGACCUACGGGUGAAAGCAGGGGAUCUUCGGACCUUGCGCGAUUGAAUGAGCCGAUGUCGGAUUAGCUAGUUGGCGGGGUAAAGGCCCACCAGGGCGACGAUCCGUAGCUGGUCUGAGAGGAUGAUCAGCCACACUGGAACUGAGACACGGUCCAGACUCCUACGGGAGGCAGCAGUGGGGAAUAUUGGACAAUGGGCGCAAGCCUGAUCCAGCCAUACCGCGUGGGUGAAGAAGGCCUUCGGGUUGUAAAGCCCUUUUGUUGGGAAAGAAAAGCAGCAGGUUAAUACCCCGCUGUUCCGACGGUACCCAAAGAAUAAGCACCGGCUAACUUCGUG
Molecule: ribosomal RNA, 492 nt
Filed under: uncultured bacterium
Lineage: Bacteria
Description: partial 16S ribosomal RNA
Rfam family: Bacterial small subunit ribosomal RNA
Source: RNAcentral